UAUAUAUUCAUAUUCAAAUAAAGUUAUAGAUUCAAAAUAUGUGCGUUUACUUUGCUACUAUUUUAUCUUACAAAUUCUAUAUUUUAAGUAUUUGAAGAUUUAAAACUAUUUUUCACAUUUCAAAAUGUACAGAUUUUUUCAGAUCUGAAAAUUAUUAGAUAAUGUAGACUUCUAAUGAAGUAUGCUUAUAAGCUAAGGCUAGUAGACUUAAAAAAAGUAUACUAAGCCACUAAUUUUAAGUAGACUUCAUUGGAAGUCUACAAAAAUAUGACUUCAAUUUUUCUCCAAUGUUUUAUUAAUAAUAUUAUCAUAUUUUGUAUGUAUUUUCUUCCAUGGUUGUUAUCUC
Molecule: long non-coding RNA, 346 nt
Filed under: Brassica napus (rape)
Lineage: Eukaryota; Viridiplantae; Streptophyta; Magnoliopsida; Brassicales; Brassicaceae
Description: long non-coding RNA (BNAP_LNC011792)
Source: RNAcentral